AACGUCGUGAGACAGUUCGGUCCCUAUCUGCCGUGGGCGCUGGAGAAUUGAGGGGGGCUGCUCCUAGUACGAGAGGACCGGAGUGGACGCAUCACUGGUGUUCGGGUUGUCAUGCCAAUGGCACUGCCCGGUAGCUAAAUGCGGAAGAGAUAAGUGCUGAAAGCAUCUAAGCACGAAACUUGCCCCGAGAUGAGUUCUCCCUGAGACUUUAAGUCUCCUGAAGGAACGUUAAAGACGAUGACGUUGAUAGGCCGGGUGUGUAAGCGCAGCGAUGCGUUGAGCUAACCGGUACUAAUGAACCGUGAGGCUUAACCUU
Molecule: ribosomal RNA, 316 nt
Filed under: Pseudomonas aeruginosa
Lineage: Bacteria; Pseudomonadati; Pseudomonadota; Gammaproteobacteria; Pseudomonadales; Pseudomonadaceae
Also listed under: 1 other name
Description: partial 23S ribosomal RNA
Rfam family: Bacterial large subunit ribosomal RNA
Source: RNAcentral